This 639-nucleotide ribosomal RNA is filed under the name Dissoderma odoratum. RNAcentral's name for it is "eukaryotic LSU rRNA". The stretch from base 245 to 398 matches the Rfam family "5.8S ribosomal RNA". The record is from RNAcentral. Lineage: Eukaryota; Fungi; Basidiomycota; Agaricomycetes; Agaricales.
AGGAUCAUCAUUGAAUAAACUUGGAGAGCUGCUGCUGGCUUCUUGGAGCAUGUGCACGCUCUUCAUCUUUACCUUUUCCACCUGUGCACUCUUUGUAGACUUGGAAUAUAUCUCGGGGAAAACUCGGUCAGAGGUUUGCUGUGGGUCAAAGCCAGCUCUCCUUACCCUUCCAGUCUAACACACACACCCUGUAGUAUGUAAAUGAAUGGAAUCACUAGGCUUCGCUGCCUAUAAAAAGUUAUACAACUUUCAGCAACGGAUCUCUUGGCUCUCGCAUCGAUGAAGAACGCAGCGAAAUGCGAUAAGUAAUGUGAAUUGCAGAAUUCAGUGAAUCAUCGAAUCUUUGAACGCACCUUGCGCUCCUUGGUAUUCCGAGGAGCAUGCCUGUUUGAGUGUCAUUAAAUUAUCAACCUCUUCAACUUUUUCAAAGGAGCUGGAUAGGAUUGGAUGUGGGGGCUGGAGGCUUGCAACAAGUCUGCUCUCCUCAAAUGCAUUAGCUGGAACCUUUUUGUGAACCUACAAUAGUGUGAUAAUUAUCUACGCUGUUAUUGUGACACAAUGUAAUAUAUAAAGGCUCUGCUUCCAACAGUCCAUUGACUUGGACACUAAUGACAAUUGACCUCAAAUCAGGUGGACUAC